AGUCCUCUUGGUGCUUAGCCUGGUCAGUCU
Molecule: non-coding RNA, 30 nt
Filed under: Cricetulus griseus (Chinese hamster)
Lineage: Eukaryota; Metazoa; Chordata; Mammalia; Rodentia; Cricetidae
Source: RNAcentral